Molecule: ribosomal RNA, 253 nt
Filed under: uncultured bacterium
Lineage: Bacteria
Description: partial 16S ribosomal RNA
Rfam family: Bacterial small subunit ribosomal RNA
Source: RNAcentral
UACGGAGGGUGCAAGCGUUAUUCGGAUUUAUUGGGCGUAAAGGGCGCGUAGGCGGUCUUGUAAGUCAGAUGUGAAAGCCCGGGGCUCAACCCCGGAAGGGCAUUUGAUACUGCGAGACUUGAGUAUGGGAGGGGGAAGUGGAAUUCCUGGUGUAGAGGUGAAAUUCGUAGAUAUCAGGAGGAACACCAGUGGCGAAGGCGACUUCCUGGACCAAUACUGACGCUGAUGCGCGAAGGCGUGGGGAGCAAACAGG